UACGUAGGGCGCAAGCGUUAUCCGGAAUUAUUGGGCGUAAAGAGCUCGUAGGCGGUUUGUCGCGUCUGCCGUGAAAGUCCGGGGCUCAACUCCGGAUCUGCGGUGGGUACGGGCAGGCUAGAGUGCGGUAGGGGAGACUGGAAUUCCUGGUGUAGCGGUGAAAUGCGCAGAUAUCAGGAGGAACACCGGUGGCGAAGGCGGGUCUCUGGGCCGUAACUGACGCUGAGGAGCGAAAGCAUGGGGAGCGAACAGG
This 253-nucleotide ribosomal RNA is filed under the name uncultured bacterium. RNAcentral's name for it is "partial 16S ribosomal RNA". It matches the Rfam family "Bacterial small subunit ribosomal RNA", at positions 524 to 776 of the family's 1533-position model. The record is from RNAcentral.